UAAACCUACUCAUUCCGUUUC
RNAcentral lists this non-coding RNA (21 nucleotides) under Arabidopsis thaliana (thale cress). The record is from RNAcentral. Lineage: Eukaryota; Viridiplantae; Streptophyta; Magnoliopsida; Brassicales; Brassicaceae.